UGCUCUUCCGUUGUGAUAAAAAAAUUAGGAAAACGGUUGACCCUAAAGGCCAUCCCUGCAACUUCCCGCUCAUGUCAUACUUAAGCGCACAAACCUACACUUAUUACGAUUUUGAGCUCUUCGAGCUCAAAAAUAUAAUUUUCGUAUCAUUUUGAGCUCUCCGAGCUCAAAAAUUUGCUAGAAG
Molecule: long non-coding RNA, 184 nt
Filed under: Cotesia glomerata
Lineage: Eukaryota; Metazoa; Arthropoda; Insecta; Hymenoptera; Braconidae
Description: uncharacterized LOC123265928, transcript variant X2
Source: RNAcentral